This 788-nucleotide ribosomal RNA is filed under the name uncultured Actinomycetes bacterium. RNAcentral describes it as "bacterial SSU rRNA". It matches the Rfam family "Bacterial small subunit ribosomal RNA", at positions 87 to 891 of the family's 1533-position model. The record is from RNAcentral. Lineage: Bacteria; Bacillati; Actinomycetota; Actinomycetes.
GUACUCGAGUGGCGAACGGGUGAGUAACACGUGGGUGAUCUGCCUUGCACUUCGGGAUAAGCUUGGGAAACUGGGUCUAAUACCGGAUAGGACAGCUGUUUAGUGUCAGUUGUGGAAAGUUUUUUCGGUGCAAGAUGAGUUCGCGGCCUAUCAGCUUGUUGGUGGGGUAAUGGCCUACCAAGGCGUCGACGGGUAGCCGGCCUGAGAGGGUGUACGGCCACAUUGGGACUGAGAUACGGCCCAGACUCCUACGGGAGGCAGCAGUGGGGAAUAUUGCACAAUGGGCGGAAGCCUGAUGCAGCGACGCCGCGUGGGGGAUGAAGGCCUUCGGGUUGUAAACUCCUUUCGACAGGGACGAAGCGUAAGUGACGGUACCUGUAUAAGAAGCACCGGCUAACUACGUGCCAGCAGCCGCGGUAAUACGUAGGGUGCGAGCGUUGUCCGGAAUUACUGGGCGUAAAGAGCUCGUAGGUGGUUUGUCGCGUCGUCUGUGAAAUUCCGGGGCUUAACUCCGGGCGUGCAGGCGAUACGGGCUGACUUGAGUGCUGUAGGGGAGACUGGAAUUCCUGGUGUAGCGGUGAAAUGCGCAGAUAUCAGGAGGAACACCGAUGGCGAAGGCAGGUCUCUGGGCAGUAACUGACGCUGAGGAGCGAAAGCAUGGGUAGCGAACAGGAUUAGAUACCCUGGUAGUCCAUGCCGUAAACGGUGGGCGCUAGGUGUAGGGGGCUUCCACGUCUUCUGUGCCGUAGCUAACGCAUUAAGCGCCCCGCCUGGGGAGUACGCCGCAA